UGGGGAAUAUUGCACAAUGGGGGAAACCCUGAUGCAGCGACGCCGCGUGAGCGAUGAAGGCUUUCGAGUCGUAAAGCUCUGUCCUAUGGGAAGAUAAUGACGGUACCAUAGAAGAAAGCCCCGGCUAAUUACGUGCCAGCAGCCGCGGUAAUACGUAAGGGGCGAGCGUUGUCCGGAAUUAUUGGGCGUAAAGAGUGCGUAGGCGGCAAAUUAAGUCAGAUGUGAAAACUAAGGGCUCAACCCAUAGAUUGCAUCUGAAACUGAUAUGCUUGAGUCAAGGAGAGGAAAGUGGAAUUCCUAGUGUAGCGGUGGAAUGCGUAGAUAUUAGGAGGAAUACCGGUGGCGAAGGCGACUUUCUGGACUUUUACUGACGCUCAGGUACGAAAGCGUGGGUAGCAAACAGG
This 404-nucleotide ribosomal RNA is filed under the name Verrucomicrobiota bacterium. Its description in RNAcentral is "Verrucomicrobia bacterium partial 16S ribosomal RNA". It matches the Rfam family "Bacterial small subunit ribosomal RNA", at positions 355 to 776 of the family's 1533-position model. The record is from RNAcentral. Lineage: Bacteria; Pseudomonadati; Verrucomicrobiota.